RNAcentral lists this ribosomal RNA (292 nucleotides) under uncultured bacterium. RNAcentral describes it as "partial 16S ribosomal RNA". It matches the Rfam family "Bacterial small subunit ribosomal RNA", at positions 505 to 796 of the family's 1533-position model. The record is from RNAcentral.
GUGUCAGCAGCCGCGGUAAGACAGAGGCCCCAAGCGUUAGGCGGAAUCACUGGGCUUAAAGCGUGUGUAGGCGGAUCGUUAAGUGUCUUGUGAAAUCCCACGGCUCACCCGUGGAACUGCUGGGCAUACUGGCGAUCUUGGGCCAACUAGGGGCAGUCGGAACAAGCGGUGGAGCGGUGAAAUGCGUAGAUAUCGCUUGGAACGCCGAAGGUGAAAACAGACUGCUGGGGUUGCGCCGACGCUGAGACACGAAAGCCAGGGGAGCAAACGGGAUUAGAUACCCGAGUAGUCC